Molecule: non-coding RNA, 203 nt
Organism: Pelobates cultripes (western spadefoot toad)
Lineage: Eukaryota; Metazoa; Chordata; Amphibia; Anura; Pelobatidae
Source: the annotation of a GenBank genome assembly
CCUGCUCAGUGAGUUUACAUGUUAGAGGGAGUGGGGUAUAGUGACACAGUAACAGAGGGAUUGAGGGUCCUGCUCAGUGAGUUUACAUGUUAGAGGGAGUGGGGUAUAGUGACACAGUAACAGAGGGAUUGAGGGCCUGCUCAGUGAGCUUACAUGUUAGAGGGAGUGGGGUAUAGUGACACAGUAACAGAGGGAUUGAGGGC